UGAUAGCAAAAGCAAAAAAGCAAUCUUUAGAUGGAUAAGGUUCUUCACAAGAGAUCUGGAAGCCAAUUUUGGGUUUAAUGAGCCCAGAACAAUCAUGGAUUCUAGAGCAGCUCAGAGAGUUGGUUUGCAAAGCCUUUAAUUAGGUAUAAUAUCUCAUGAUAGAGCUACUUAAGCGGAGCCAAGGGCUUUCCUAACACUCACAACAAUCCUGUGAGACACCAUCUUGCAAAUUUGGCAAUGUAGAGAACGCAAUGGAAGAUCAGAGUAAACUUCAAGCAAAGUAAAUUGGUCUCUUUACUCUGCACACUGAUUACACAUAUGCAACUCCAAAAGAGUGGUUACGCUCCUGUAAAGAUAUAGCAUUAGAAUCUAUACAAGAAGAUACCUAUUUCUCAUUCAACACAAAAAUAAAGAUUAAAAGAUUGGCUCCUGUAAUCCAC
This is a long non-coding RNA of Hemicordylus capensis (graceful crag lizard), 440 nucleotides long. RefSeq lists it as uncharacterized. NCBI's taxonomy places the organism in Eukaryota, Metazoa, Chordata, Lepidosauria, Squamata, Cordylidae. The record is from RefSeq and is a predicted model, not a curated record. The transcript has 2 exons.